UGAGAAGUAGCAUAAAUUAAAGUGUGUUCUGUUUACACCAGAGAGGUAAUUUUACAUUUUUCUCAU
This 66-nucleotide transfer RNA is filed under the name Cyclina sinensis. Its description in RNAcentral is "tRNA-Val". Lineage: Eukaryota; Metazoa; Mollusca; Bivalvia; Venerida; Veneridae. The record is from RNAcentral.